Long non-coding RNA from Xenopus laevis (African clawed frog), 3552 nucleotides. RefSeq lists it as uncharacterized. NCBI's taxonomy places the organism in Eukaryota, Metazoa, Chordata, Amphibia, Anura, Pipidae. The transcript has 13 exons. The record is from RefSeq and is a predicted model, not a curated record.
CGCUGAGUAGUAGGAUUUUUCUUUGGGGCAGGAUUUUAUUCAGUCUUCCCUUGCGGCUGCGAACCUGUUACAUACUUGCUGGUCUCUGUAAGGAGACUGGAGGCUAAGCCGAGCAGAGGAGACUCACGUUCCUUGUUAAAGGGGAAGGAAAGUCUUUUUAACUUGGGGGUGCCAAAAUUUAGGCAUCCCAAGUGAUUUUAUUUACUUAACUGAUAACCCAGGCUGCUGCUCCUGUCAACAGAAAACUGCACCGGCCCAGGGUUCUUCCAGAGAACACCACAGAGUGAUUCUCUUUUUCCACUUCUUCAGACAUAACUGCACAGUGGUGUGAAAUAGCUGUUUUAUGUUGUUGUUGUUGUUAAAGUAUGGCUUUUCACUGUGUAUGCACAGCUGUGGGAAUAAAGAAUAAGCAUGAACAGGAUCCCUCUGUGUAGCUCACUGGGCCUUUGCAGUUUUCUGUUGAUAGGAGCAGCAACCCUGGGUAUAUACGAUCACUUAGAGCUGCCUAACUUUUGGUACCUUCAAGUAAAAAACAUGCUUUCUCCUAUAAAGGGAGGGGAUCUCUCACAUCUUUGCCUGUGUGAUGUGAUGAAAGCCCAAGAAGGAAGUUCUGGACUGAAGACUCCACAUUCCUUUCCUCUCCUGCUUCAUUUGCAUGUCUUCGACCCAACUGGCUGGCAAGAUUUUACACCAGAGAAUUAAUUUCAUUUAUGUUCCACAAUAUGACUUUGAUUUUAUCAUUAUAAACAAUUGAAAUGUUCUAUGCCACAAAAGAGAUCAUAUUCAGUUAAUCUAUCCAUAGAAAAAAAAAUAUAUAAAUGUUAGCACAAAAGAAACCAAAAAUAAACAUUAAGAAACAUGUUCUGCAUUUUCUAAUGAACCAUUGUGGCAGAAGAUUUAGGGGUAGAUUUAUCAAAAUGUGAGAUCAAAGCUCACGACAAAAAAAAAAACACUUUGUAUUCAUUUCUGUGAUUUUUAAGAAGCAUAAUUUUCAAUGGUUGAAAGUUACAGUGCACCAUUUGAUAAAUACACUUAUAGGAAUGACUAGAAAGGGGAUGAGUUUUUUUGUGGUGAGCUCUGAUGUCACAUUAAGGGGCCUAUCUAUUAUGCUGUGUAAAUGGAGUCUUGGCAAAAAAGGUGAUAAGGGUGAAGACACGCAGAGCUACUAGUAGCAGCUACUUGUCACAUCUACAAAAUAGACAAUAGUGAUUAUUGGCUUAGCUAAGACACUACAUGUGUUUUAGCAGAGGCAAGUCUUAGUAUUGUCUAUGGCAGGAUCAUUUUUUGGCUUUUUGUAGCUGCUACUAGUGGCCCUGUGUGUUUUCACCCUAAACGUUGUGUAAAAUAAACAGCAAAUUCCUCAACGUUUGUGCGCCUUCCAAAUUCCACAUUUGGCAGCAUUAGAAAAGUAGAAUGUAUGAUAAGUGCACCUUUUUCCUUUUGAUGUGUGGUGAAUUUGAAUGUUGUUUCUUUGCUGUAUUUUUACACAAAAGUAAAUAUUCCCUGUAGUGUCAGUGAAUCGUUCAAGUGUCCAUUGCUAAUUGAUGUGAAAGGGAUAUGCUCUUAGUUAGAGAGGAUCUGGAUAAUUGGCUAUAGAUAUUUUUCAUUUUAUUUGAUAGGACUGAGAACUCUGCUCCCUGAAUAUCGCAUAAUCAUCUUUUAGCUUUGGUAGGGAGUCAUCAGUUACCAGAGAGAGAGUCUGAUAGUGGUACAGCAAGCAAGUCUUUAUAAAGUUCAAGAAUGCCAUUGAAACAUACAUUUUAUCUUCUGGACCUGUUUUUCCAAUACUUAGCUUUUCUUGCUAACUGUUUAAACUUUUUUUCCUAGAUACAACAAUUUAUUUUUUGUGGAGGAAGAGUUAUCUUCUAUGAAAGGAAUGCUGUCUUCCAUCUCUAAAAUAGUCAUUUUGGAGUACACAAGCCUGGCCCACAAAAGCUUUGGAAGGUCGAAGAGGCUAGAACAUUACCGGGUGGAUGGAGCCAGGGCAUACCUAAUAAUGCACAGCUAAGACUUCAUGACAGAACAGUUAGAUGAAUUCAGUUACCAUACUUCUUGCUGAAUGCAGCAUUUAGUCAGUGGAUCUGAGAUUUCUCUUGAGACUUCUGCUACCUCUGUAAGUGGAUCCGUUAGUCCGCAAUGAUCCGUUGUAUUUUCGGAGGAGGAAGGCACCAUAUUGUUCCUCCAUCUUGCACGAUGACUGGGAAUUUGAAAUGGAUCAAGCAGUGCCAUCUACCUCUACAGGACUACCAAUAGAUGAGAAUUACAUCUUAAGGAGACAGAAUCUGUUACAAGAGCUGCAGUCAAACUACCCAGACUCCGAUGAGGAUACCUGUUUUCCAGACAACCCACAAAGGAAAAAUUCUUCAGAGGUCAAUGCACAGCAAAUAAUUCCUGAUCCACGUUUAGGAAAUAACAGAUGGUGUCAAUGUGGACAUUGUUUAGUUAUGUAUACAAAAAUCUGCGGAGGAUUGCAUACAGAAGCUUCACUUCAUGGAUACACGGUUUUCUCGAAAUAGGAGUACGCAUUGCUAUACCAUCAUGUGCUUUUGCUGCUGUUCGUGAAGCUUUUCCUGAUCCUAAAGAAAAAUAUAUAAUAUUCAAGAGAAAGAGAAGAUAGAAAAAGAGGAGUGGUGAGUCUCAGAAGGACUCAUGGAGAUAGCUACAUAGUUAAUCCAUUACGGUCUCCCCUACUGUGUAUCCCCCAGCAUCGAGGCUAGAGUUCGUCAUGCAACGCCAGCGUCACCUCCUGCAGCAUCCCUUUAAUCUCAAGCUUUGUUGGAAGGCAUUUCAGGGUUUUAGGAAGGAUACCCCAUAUGCAGCGUUAGCCUCUAGGCCAUCGCGGCCAUCUCGAUGAGCGUUGCGUGCGUGUGCGUAUGUGCGCGCUCAAGCACGUGAGCGUCAAUCCUCCGUCUCCUCCUCUCUCUGAUCCUCCGUCUCUAAAAACAAACAAUAAACACAUUUUGCCUAUUUAGUUGUAAUUUCACUAAGCUAAGCACUGGCUUUUGAUAUUCCUAUACAAUUAAAAAACAUUUCAUUGUGCACACAUGCUGUUUUUGUCUGUGGAAACUGUAAAAUGUCUAAAUUUAUUCUAAUUCUUUGACUAUUGUGUAGGAGUCCGUAUGGUUAACCCAGUGUUCAUAGAAAUCCCAGACUAUUUGGAAAUUCCCUGGCUAUGGCCAGCUAAGGGCUUGGCCUAACUUAGAGAUGAGAGGGGGAGUGUUUGCUUUUACAGGUUGAAGUGUUCCCAUGGUAGUUCCAGAUUUGGAUUAUUAUCUGAGUCCCUAUAAAGGAAAGUACCACAUGUUCUUCCUCUUUGGCUUCUGCAUGCUGAGAAAGGUUUAAAUGUGCUGAGAGCCUGGGCUUGGGCCCCAGUGAAGGCCUUAAGGGUGGAAACACAUGCUUAAAAUUCACAAGAGGAGGAUGGACAUAGGCAGCUGAACAAAGCACAACUACGAGGCCUAUAAAUCAUGCUGUCUAAAAAGUGGAGUGAAGCAUUAACGGUGAUGUUGCCCAUUAGCAACAAAUCAGCAAUUAGAUUUCAACAGUUAGGAA